UGGUGGAGCGAUUUGUCUGGUCAACUCCGAUAACGAACGAGACUCUAGCCUACUAAAUAGUUCGGGGACCUCCACAAAGGGGCCCCGCUUCAACUUCUUAGAGGGACAGGUGGCGUUUAGCCACACGAGAUUGAGCAAUAACA
This 143-nucleotide ribosomal RNA is filed under the name uncultured eukaryote. RNAcentral's name for it is "partial 18S ribosomal RNA". It matches the Rfam family "Eukaryotic small subunit ribosomal RNA", at positions 1299 to 1458 of the family's 1831-position model. The record is from RNAcentral.